GAUGCGACCUCAGCUCAGGCGGGGCCACCCGCUGAGUUUAAGCAUAUCAAUAAGCGGAGGAAAGAAAAACUAACCAGGGAUUCCCCUAG
This 89-nucleotide ribosomal RNA is filed under the name Gilbertiodendron sp. Wieringa 1315. RNAcentral's name for it is "partial 26S ribosomal RNA". It matches the Rfam family "Eukaryotic large subunit ribosomal RNA", at positions 1 to 83 of the family's 3401-position model. Lineage: Eukaryota; Viridiplantae; Streptophyta; Magnoliopsida; Fabales; Fabaceae. The record is from RNAcentral.